UAGGGAAUCUUCCACAAUGGGCGAAAGCCUGAUGGAGCAACGCCGCGUGUGUGAUGAAGGGUUUCGGCUCGUAAAACACUGUUGUAAGAGAAGAAUGACAUUGAGAGUAACUGUUCAAUGUGUGACGGUAUCUUACCAGAAAGGAACGGCUAAUACGUGCCAG
This 163-nucleotide ribosomal RNA is filed under the name uncultured bacterium. RNAcentral describes it as "partial 16S rRNA". It matches the Rfam family "Bacterial small subunit ribosomal RNA", at positions 355 to 511 of the family's 1533-position model. The record is from RNAcentral.